GAUGAACGCUGGCGGCGUGCCUAAUACAUGCAAGUCGAGCGAACGGACGAGAAGCUUUCUUUUCUGAUGUUAGCGGCGGACGGGUGAGUAACACGUGGAUAACCUACCUAUAAGACUGGGAUAACUUCGGGAAACCGGAGCUAAUACCGGAUAAUAUUUUGAACCGCAUGGUUCAAAAGUGAAAGACGGUCUUGCUGUCACUUAUAGAUGGAUCCGCGCUGCAUUAGCUAGUUGGUAAGGUAACGGCUUACCAAGGCAACGAUGCAUAGCCGACCUGAGAGGGUGAUCGGCCACACUGGAACUGAGACACGGUCCAGACUCCUACGGGAGGCAGCAGUAGGGAAUCUUCCGCAAUGGGCGAAAGCCUGACGGAGCAACGCCGCGUGAGUGAUGAAGGUCUUCGGAUCGUAAAACUCUGUUAUUAGGGAAGAACAUAUGUGUAAGUAACUGUGCACAUCUUGACGGUACCUAAUCAGAAAGCCACGGCUAACUACGUG
Molecule: ribosomal RNA, 497 nt
Filed under: uncultured bacterium
Lineage: Bacteria
Description: partial 16S ribosomal RNA
Rfam family: Bacterial small subunit ribosomal RNA
Source: RNAcentral